RNAcentral lists this ribosomal RNA (460 nucleotides) under uncultured bacterium. Its description in RNAcentral is "partial 16S ribosomal RNA". It matches the Rfam family "Bacterial small subunit ribosomal RNA", at positions 338 to 795 of the family's 1533-position model. The record is from RNAcentral.
CCUACGGGAGGCAGCAGUGAGGAAUAUUGGUCAAUGGACGAGAGCCUGAACCAGCCAAGUAGCGUGAAGGAUGACGGCCCUAUGGUUUGUAAACUUCUUUUAUAUAGGAAUAAAAUGAGGAACGUGUGCCUUUUUGCAUGUACCUUAUGAAUAAGCAUCGGCUAACUCCGUGCCAGCAGCCGCGGUAAUACGGAGGAUCCGAGCGUUAUCCGGAUUUAUUGGGUUUAAAGGGUGCGUAGGUGGGUUAGUAAGUAAGUUGUGAAAGUUUGUGGCUCAACCAUAAAAUUGCCGUUGAUACUGGCAGACUUGAGUACAUUUGAGGUAGGCGGAAUGCGUGGUGUAGCGGUGAAAUGCGUAGAUAUCACGAAGAACCCCGAUUGCGAAGGCAGCUUACUAAACUGUGACUGACAUUGAGGCACGAAAGUGUGGGUAUCAAACAGGAUUAGAUACCCUUGUAGUC